RNAcentral lists this small RNA (377 nucleotides) under Prunus persica (peach). Its description in RNAcentral is "5' ureB small RNA". It matches the Rfam family "5' ureB small RNA". Lineage: Eukaryota; Viridiplantae; Streptophyta; Magnoliopsida; Rosales; Rosaceae. The record is from Rfam by way of RNAcentral.
CUUCAUAAGCUAACUGAGGGCAUAUGAAGUGCACGUGACAGUCUAUGGCGCCUGCAGUCACAAUCAUUCCUUCCCCAGCAAUGACCUCAGUGUUAACCUAAGUAAUAAAGAAGAAGGUGCAAAGCAUUAUUGACUUCCUGAUCAGUUUUCUUCCCAAACUUCUGUAAUAUGAGAUGAUAUUUACCCCAAUGGUCAUAUUUACACCAUCCUUAACAUCUGGAUUGCCUGAUUUUCCAACGGCAAAUAUAUUACCCUCUUUGAUACCAAUAUCUGCCUUAAAGAUCCCGCUAUAAUCAAUGAUCACAGCAUUGGUUAUAACAGUAUCCAACGAAUUGGCUGGUUGGUUCCCAGAUGACUGGCCCAUUCCGUCUCUUACA